UCGUCCCAUGGAACCCUAGCUAGGGUCCCGCCGCCACCACCCCACCCCUUAGCAUCUCGCCCCCAGCCGCUGCCGCCCUCCCGCCGCCAUAUCGCUGGAAGGCCUCUCCAGUACUUUGCUCGCCGUCGUCAGCCGGAGCACCUCUAGGCCGAACGAUUUCAAUUUCUUGACCAGAAACUGCGUCCUCCCUUAUAUACGUGCGCGUACACACAUCGAGGAAGGAAAAGGCAAGCACCGCGAGGCAAGAGGAGAGGGCGACCAGCUUCGCCACGUUAUCGACGCCGCCGUAGCCGAGCUCGGCCUUGGAAUCAGCAAAGGUGAGGUUGAAGAUUACCUUGCCUCGAGCGGAGGGUGAGGAAGCUGGGAGGAAGGAGACCAAGGAGCUGUUCCCGCAGAGCGCCGGCUUGGGUGGUGUGCAGGAUGCAGCUACCGCUGACGACUACUCCGCGUCAGGCAAACAUCGAUGGUCCAGACUAUAUCAACAGCAUAUACCAAUGAGGUACUCAGCUUUCGGCAAAGUCACAGAUGAUUAUUAAUUCACAGGAAAAUAGAUAGAUAUUGUUUUAACUGCAGCGCAUAGGGCGCCGCCUCCUCACAAUCGUCUUCCGGAGGCUGGGCAGAGGGAGUGCGCUCGAGGAGAAGCGUCCAUGGGUUUGGCCAUGGGGGCCAUACUCGGUGUGUUAGACGUGGUCACGUAAAAGGGUGGCAGAAAAUGGAGGAAGAGAGGGCGACCUCACCUCGGUCGAGAGGUCGGAGGCAAACCAUGGCUCCUCCGUGCUGGAACGGGAGCAUGGUCCUCGUGGUGGCAGCGGUGAGGCCAUCUGCCAGCUACGAUAGUAGAUGAGCUUCGGUGCUCCGGCGGCGUGGUCGAUGAGGAAGAGGCGGCAGAGGGAGAACUCCCA
This is a long non-coding RNA of Lolium rigidum, 902 nucleotides long. RefSeq lists it as uncharacterized. The transcript is spliced from 4 exons. The record is from RefSeq and is a predicted model, not a curated record. NCBI's taxonomy places the organism in Eukaryota, Viridiplantae, Streptophyta, Magnoliopsida, Poales, Poaceae.